GGCUCAGGACGAACGCUGGCGGCGUGCUUAACACAUGCAAGUCGAACGAUGAACCACUUCGGUGGGGAUUAGUGGCGAACGGGUGAGUAACACGUGGGCAAUCUGCCCUUCACUCUGGGACAAGCCCUGGAAACGGGGUCUAAUACCGGAUAACACUCUCGCAGGCAUCUGUGAGGGUUAAAAGCUCCGGCGGUGAAGGAUGAGCCCGCGGCCUAUCAGCUUGUUGGUGAGGUAAUGGCUCACCAAGGCGACGACGGGUAGCCGGCCCGAGAGGGCGACCGGCCACACUGGGACUGAGACACGGCCCAGACUCCUACGGGAGGCAGCAGUGGGGAAUAUUGCACAAUGGGCGAAAGCCUGAUGCAGCGACGCCGCGUGAGGGAUGACGGCCUUCGGGUUGUAAACCUCUUUCAGCAGGGAAGAAGCGAAAGUGACGGUACCUGCAGAAGAAGCGCCGGCUAACUACGUGCCAGCAGCCGCGGUAAUACGUAGGGCGCAAGCGUUGUCCGGAAUUAUUGGGCGUAAAGAGCUCGUAGGCGGCUUGUCACGUCGAUUGUGAAAGCCCGAGGCUUAACCUCGGGUCUGCAGUCGAUACGGGCUAGCUAGAGUGUGGUAGGGGAGAUCGGAAUUCCUGGUGUAGCGGUGAAAUGCGCAGAUAUCAGGAGGAACACCGGUGGCGAAGGCGGAUCUCUGGGCCAUUACUGACGCUGAGGAGCGAAAGCGUGGGGAGCGAACAGGAUUAGAUACCCUGGUAGUCCACGCCGUAAACGGUGGGAACUAGGUGUUGGCGACAUUCCACGUCGUCGGUGCCGCAGCUAACGCAUUAAGUUCCCCGCCUGGGGAGUACGGCCGCAGGGCUAAAACUU
RNAcentral lists this ribosomal RNA (866 nucleotides) under uncultured bacterium. RNAcentral's name for it is "bacterial SSU rRNA". It matches the Rfam family "Bacterial small subunit ribosomal RNA", at positions 21 to 902 of the family's 1533-position model. The record is from RNAcentral.